This is a long non-coding RNA of Trichoplusia ni (cabbage looper), 2426 nucleotides long. RefSeq lists it as uncharacterized. The transcript has 3 exons. Lineage: Eukaryota; Metazoa; Arthropoda; Insecta; Lepidoptera; Noctuidae. The record is from RefSeq and is a predicted model, not a curated record.
AUAAUUUUCGAGAUAGUAAUAUCACAUACAUUUAUUGAUUUUCCAACAUUCAAAGUUUGCAAACUUACUAAUGCUAGCUGUCAACACCGUCCUAAGGGCAGCAACACUGGUUUCAGGUUUGGCAAACAAAACGAAGUCUCUACUGUGUGAGUGUUUGAAAUUGCCCGAAGUCUUUUGAAUAAACUAAAUUGUUAUUAUAACGAAACUAUAUAUUCAACUGUUUAAAUUAUUUGUAAAAUCAGUGGUUUAACCCACCCGCCAGUGUUGUGGUAUCGGCGAAUUUGCAUCGGUGAAGGUUACGCGUUUAAAGCUACUGGGUCCGUUUGUGGACAGUUUUCUGGUCUCCGAGAUGGAUUUACAGCUGUACAAAUUCGAAUAUUCCCGCGACCCCGUCCGUUUGGAGGACCAGAUCCAACGCCUGAUGGAUGCUCUCGGCCUCAUCAAGAAGGGGAUCCGGGUGCUUCUGGAGAUGGACCAGAACGAGCCCCGAGUGAGGGCUGUGAAGAGGGGCAUCCUCCGCGUGCUGGCGCCCUACGAGGAACUGCUGCAGCAGAAGAAGCUGGCGUUGAAGCGGGUCCUGUCUCGCGCGGCCAAGCCCAGGCGACGACGCAAUAAUGCUAAGUAAACUACUACCUACUACAUACCAAAACGUCUCACACUCUCAUAAGUCGCCGUCUUUGUCUACAACAUGGCCCCUGCCCCAUUUCUGCUAUUUAAAAUGGCCGAUGAUAAUUCGAUUAAAUUGGCACUAUGAGUGUUAUUCUAGAUAUUUUAACACAAUAAUUGGAAAUUUUGUCUUUCUCAAAAACAUCACAGUCGUACUCACAAAUGAUAUUUUAUUAAAUGAAGUUCUUGUAUAUGUGACUUGGGGCUAGGCUCACAUGACUGAAAACUGUGUCACUGGCUGUUGUUCAACAUGAAAAGGGUAUUUGACUAAAUCUUUAUAAUAUAAAUCUGUUUAGUCCAUCAGACAGAAUUCCCAAAAAUAUUGAAUACGUAUUUUUUAUUUGAAUAUAUCAUUAGAAAGUGUAUUGAAGUGGAGCUAGUAACAUCACUUGCUAGUAAAAACCGUACUAGUAAGUGACGUCACUCGAGAUUUAGAAAUCACUGCAUCCCAUUUAGUUUUUUAAAAAACAAAAAACUGGGAAAACUGUCUAACUGACUAAACAGUUUUUUUGUUGUCAAAUACCCUAUUUAAACGACAGCAGAGAUUAUCAACCAUGUCACCGUCUCAUUGAAGCAAUGUAUUAUGACAUGUAUCACACGAACGAAAUCUUUACGUCAUAAGACCUCUCUCCUUAAAUUUAAAGCAAAUCUUUAUAUUUUUUUUGUUCAGAAAAAAAGGUAAAUAUACGUGUCUAAUAUUUCUAAUUAUCUAACGGAACGGUCAUAAAAAUUUUUACUUUUUAUACCUAGUCAUCAUCCCUAUUGAGCUGUGUUUUAAAUUGAUGACAUUUCUUAAUUAACCCAUGUGCUUAGUCGAUAUAUAUAUAUAUUUAUCUUAAGAUUAUAUUAGUCUUUAAGCUAAUCCCAUGUGUUACAUUAUUACAACUUUAAAUAUAAUUUUACUCCGCCUGUUUAUAUUAUAAGUUAUUUUUUAUCUGAGUCAUUAGUAUUUAAGCUGUGUGUUUUCAUUUUCAGUCUGGUCGAUUGGUUUUAUGUAAUUUUAACAUAUGUAUGUUUGUAUUAGGCCCAAGCAGAGGCAAGUAGGUAGCAGUAGAUAGAUCAAGUCAACAAAAGUUACUGAAUAAUACUCGGGUGAUUCUCCAGAAAAAAAUAACAUAAGUUAACGUCGUCAUUAUCCUCACCAACUGGUCUAAGUAACUGUAGUACUAAAUUGUUUAAUUUUUUUAAGUCAUCUAUUAGUAGUCUGAGUACUUUACGAACUUGGAUAAAAAUAAUAUAGAAUACAUCAAUUUGCAGUAUCAAAAGUGUGGUGAGGAUAAUGACGUUUUUAACUUGUUUUACUUUUUUCUGGAGAAUCACCCACUCCCCAAAUAGUAGUCGAAGCUGGGAUAACUAAGAACUUAACAGUAAGAUAAUUGUCAAAAAGAAAACUAUGUAGUCCGACAGACAGAUUUAAAAAAAAAUCUAGUAUUUUAUUUCGUAAAAAAAUGAAGGGGACGAAGUGGUUUAAAAUCUCAUUUGACGUCACUUGGUUUUCUAAUGAUUUGAUAUAAAAUAUAUACUAUACUUAUUUUAAAUGUUUUGGAAAUUCGUCUGACGGACUUAAAAGAUUUAUGUUACUAUAUUUAGUAUUAUAGUAUAUAUAUAUAUUAGUAAUUUUACCUAAACCUGAUCUUAUUCGCUGAUUUUUUUUGUCCCAACUCAGUAUUAUAAAUAUUGAUCUGUGUAAUUUGCUGUUAAAGUGUAUUUAUUAUUAAUCAAUUUAGCAAUGUAAGAAUUAUCUACCGGUUUAGUGAUUU